CCUACGGGUGGCAGCAGUGGGGAAUAUUGCACAAUGGGGGGAACCCUGAUGCAGCGACGCCGCGUGGGUGAAGGAGUACUUCGGUACGUAAAGCCCUAUCAGUAGGAAAGAAAAUGACGGUACCUGACUAAGAAGCCCCGGCUAACUACGUGACAGCAGCCGCGGUAACACGUAGGGGGCAAGCGUUAUCCGGAUUUACUGGGUGUAAAGGGAGCGUAGGCGGUUUAGCAAUUCAGGAGUGAAAGGCCCGGGCUCAACUCCGGCACUGCUUUUGAAACUGUUGAACUGGAGUGCGGGAGAGGUAAGUGGAAUUCGUAGUGUAGCGGUGAAAUGCGUAGAUAUUAGGAAGAACACCGGUUGCGAAGGCAGCUUACUGGACUGUAAAUGACGCUGAGGCUCGAAAGCGUGGGGAGCGAACAGGAUUAGAUACCCUAGUAGUC
RNAcentral lists this ribosomal RNA (440 nucleotides) under uncultured bacterium. Its description in RNAcentral is "partial 16S ribosomal RNA". It matches the Rfam family "Bacterial small subunit ribosomal RNA", at positions 338 to 795 of the family's 1533-position model. The record is from RNAcentral.